This is a non-coding RNA of Pelobates cultripes (western spadefoot toad), 157 nucleotides long. The record is from the annotation of a GenBank genome assembly. Lineage: Eukaryota; Metazoa; Chordata; Amphibia; Anura; Pelobatidae.
GCAGACACAUUCCAGCCAAUCAGCAGCAGACCCUCCCUCCCAGACCCUCCCACCUCCUGGACAGCAUCCAUUUUGAAGCUGCAUUCUUAGUGAGCUGUCCAGGAGGUGGGAGGGUUUGGGAGGGAGGGUCUGCUGUUGAUUGGCUGGAAUUUGUCUG